GUCUUUCCAUCCUGGCUUGAAGUCCAGAUAGUGCUUUCUCGUCCAUGGGAAGGACCCCAGUUUGAGCAGAAUUCUCAACACCGAUGUGUUCUGAUGCUUGAGGCAUUUGAGCAAUCAUUCCUGGGUGCAAAUUGUCAUUUACAGACAUUAAUGGCUUGCUUCCCGAUUCAUGGUUUCCAGCAGCCGCGGCUAAUUGCAUACUUUUCAUCCUCUCUCUUAUUGCAUCAAGAGUGCCACUCGUUA
This 243-nucleotide unclassified non-coding RNA is filed under the name Hevea brasiliensis (rubber tree). The record is from RNAcentral. Lineage: Eukaryota; Viridiplantae; Streptophyta; Magnoliopsida; Malpighiales; Euphorbiaceae.